Molecule: non-coding RNA, 30 nt
Filed under: Mus musculus (house mouse)
Lineage: Eukaryota; Metazoa; Chordata; Mammalia; Rodentia; Muridae
Source: RNAcentral
UAAAUUUACCUGCAAAUUUGAUGAAUUCUG